This 497-nucleotide ribosomal RNA is filed under the name uncultured bacterium. RNAcentral's name for it is "partial 16S ribosomal RNA". It matches the Rfam family "Bacterial small subunit ribosomal RNA", at positions 28 to 507 of the family's 1533-position model. The record is from RNAcentral.
GACGAACGCUGGCGGCGUGCCUAAUACAUGCAAGUUGAGCGCUGAAGGUUGGUACUUGUACCGACUGGAUGAGCAGCGAACGGGUGAGUAACGCGUGGGGAAUCUGCCUUUGAGCGGGGGACAACAUUUGGAAACGAAUGCUAAUACCGCAUAAAAACUUUAAACACAAGUUUUAAGUUUGAAAGAUGCAAUUGCAUCACUCAAAGAUGAUCCCGCGUUGUAUUAGCUAGUUGGUGAGGUAAAGGCCCACCAAGGCGAUGAUACAUAGCCGACCUGAGAGGGUGAGCGGCCACAUUGGGACUGAGACACGGCCCAAACUCCUACGGGAGGCAGCAGUAGGGAAGCUUCGGCAAUGGACGAAAGUCUGACCGAGCAACGCCGCGUGAGUGAAGAAGGUUUUCGGAUCGUAAAACUCUGUUGGUAGAGAAGAACGUUGGUGAGAGUGGAAAGCUCAUCAAGUGACGGUAACUACCCAGAAAGGGACGGCUAACUACGUG